AUGGUGCAGCCGGCCUCCUCCUCUCUCUCCCGCCCCUUGCUCUCACUCGCUUCAGCACCCUCCUCGCUGUUGGCUGCAUACCCAGAAAUAUCGGCGUCGUCUCAUCGUCUUCAUCGAUACGAGCAUCUCUAUCGGACCACGCGUCCAUGCCUCCCCAUCUACCGUGCUGGAGUAGCCGCCUCCUGGUUGAGGUAUCGCACUGCCACCGCUGCCGCUGCCUGGGUCCCUCCUCUUGCUCCUGCCGAGGCUGAGGUGAGCACCAUGAGGAAGAGGAUGUCAGUAGCUGAUAUAGAGAGCUCCUCGACCGGGGAAGUUGCAGUUCUGGAGGAACUCGAAGAUGUCAUUUUUCAGGAUUAUGGCAAGGAGCAGUGGUCGUUCGGGUUCUGGGGGAACGACAUGCACAGGUUAACUCCACAAUUCAGAAAUUCAGUCUUCGUAUUGACAUCCGAGACGAAGAGAAGUGCUGCAGAGACGCGUUUUAUUUCAAAGUUACGAUACUUAUAA
RNAcentral lists this ribosomal RNA (504 nucleotides) under Triticum aestivum (bread wheat). RNAcentral's name for it is "partial small subunit ribosomal RNA". Lineage: Eukaryota; Viridiplantae; Streptophyta; Magnoliopsida; Poales; Poaceae. The record is from RNAcentral.